UGUAUAAUUAAUAUAUAAUUUCUGCUCAAUGAAUAAAUUUAAAUAGCUUUUAUAACUAAGGUAGCAUAAUAAUUAGUAUUAUAAUUGAAUACAAGAAUGAAAGAAUAAAUUAAAGUAGUAAUUUUAUUUUUAGAAAUAGAAUUUUUAUUUUAAGUGAAAAUACUUAAAUAAAAUUAUUAGACGAUAAGACCCUAUGAAACUGAUUAAAUAAACUAUUAAAGUAUAAAAAAUUAUUUGGGGAAAAUUUUAAAAUAUUUAUUAUUAUUUUAGUAUAAAAGUGAUCUUUAUUAAAUUAAAUGAAAAAGUUACUCUAGGGAUAACAGCACAAUUUUUAUUAAAGACCAUAUUAAUAUAAAAGUUUGUGACCUCGAUGUUGAAUUAAGGAGGUUUGCGGGGGCAGAUUUUCGCAAAUUUUAGUCUGUUCGACUACACUACC
This 436-nucleotide ribosomal RNA is filed under the name Candacia bispinosa. RNAcentral's name for it is "partial 16S ribosomal RNA". Lineage: Eukaryota; Metazoa; Arthropoda; Copepoda; Calanoida; Candaciidae. The record is from RNAcentral.